ACUCCUACGGGAGGCAGCAGUGGGAAUUUUGGACAAUGGGCGCAAGCCUGAUCCAGCAAUACCGCGUGCAGGAAGAAGGCCUUCGGGUUGUAAACUGCUUUUGUACGGAACGAAAAGGUCUUGGUUAAUACCUGGGGCUCAUGACGGUACCGUAAGAAUAAGCACCGGCUAACUACGUGCCAGCAGCCGCGGUAAUACGUAGGGUGCGAGCGUUAAUCGGAAUUACUGGGCGUAAAGCGUGCGCAGGCGGUUAUGUAAGACAGGUGUGAAAUCCCCGAGCUCAACUUGGGAAUUGCACUUGUGACUGCAUAACUAGAGUGCGGCAGAGGGGAUGGAAUUCCGCGUGUAGCAGUGAAAUGCGUAGAUAUGCGGAGGAACACCGAUGGCGAAGGCAAUCCCCUGGCCUGCACUGACGCUCAUGCACGAAAGCGUGGGGAGCAAACAGGAUUAGAUACCCUGGUAGGUCAGU
RNAcentral lists this ribosomal RNA (469 nucleotides) under uncultured bacterium. Its description in RNAcentral is "bacterial SSU rRNA". It matches the Rfam family "Bacterial small subunit ribosomal RNA", at positions 335 to 798 of the family's 1533-position model. The record is from RNAcentral.